CAAUUACUCCCUCCGUUCUAAAUUACUUGUGUUAGAUUGUUUAGAUACGGAGGUAUCUAGCACUAAAAUGAGUCUAGAUACAUUUGUAUCUAGACAAAUCCAAGACAAGUAAUUCGGAACGGAGGGAGUACUAA
This is a non-coding RNA of Triticum aestivum (bread wheat), 134 nucleotides long. The record is from Rfam. Lineage: Eukaryota; Viridiplantae; Streptophyta; Magnoliopsida; Poales; Poaceae.